CGGGGUAUGGCGCAGCUUGGUAGCGCACCUGCUUUGGGAGCAGGGGGUCGCAGGUUCAAAUCCUGUUACCCCGA
RNAcentral lists this transfer RNA (74 nucleotides) under Corynebacterium meridianum. It matches the Rfam family "tRNA". From Rfam's summary of the family: Transfer RNA (tRNA) molecules are approximately 80 nucleotides in length. Their secondary structure includes four short double-helical elements and three loops (D, anti-codon, and T loops). Lineage: Bacteria; Bacillati; Actinomycetota; Actinomycetes; Mycobacteriales; Corynebacteriaceae. The record is from Rfam by way of RNAcentral.